CUACGGGGUGCUGCAGUGAGGAAUUUUGCGCAAUGGGCGAAAGCCUGACGCAGCAACGCCGCGUGAGUGAUGAAGGCCUUCGGGUCGUAAAGCUCUGUCAAGUGGGAAGAACCUAUGUAAUGUUAAUAUCAUUAUAUACUGACGGUACCACUGAAGGAAGCACCGGCUAACUCCGUGCCAGCAGGCGCGGUAAUACGGGGGGUGCAAGCGUUAUUCGGAAUCAUUGGGCGUAAAGGGCACGUAGGCGGCCUGGUAAGUCAGAUGUGAAAGCCCGGGGCUUAACCCCGGAAGUGCAUUUGGUACUGUCAGUCUUGAGUAUGGGAGAGGGAAGUGGAAUUCCUGGUGUAGAGGUGAAAUUCGUAGAUAUCAGGAGGAACACCGGUGGCGAAGGCGACUUCCUGGACCAAUACUGACGCUGAGGUGCGAAGGCGUGGGUAGCAAACAGGAUUAGAUACCCUAGUAGUC
Molecule: ribosomal RNA, 465 nt
Filed under: uncultured bacterium
Lineage: Bacteria
Description: partial 16S ribosomal RNA
Rfam family: Bacterial small subunit ribosomal RNA
Source: RNAcentral